UGGGGAAUAUUGCACAAUGGGCUAAAGCUUUCUUCCGCGCCGCCGCGUUAGGGAUGACGGCCUUCGGGUUGUAAACCUCUUUCAGUAGGGACGAAGCGCAAGUGACGGUACCUGCAGAAGAAGCACCGGCUAACUACGUGCCAGCAGCCGCGGUAAUACGUAGGGUGCGAGCGUUGUCCGGAAUUACUGGGCGUAAAGAGCUCGUAGGCGGUUUGUCACGUCGUCUGUGAAAUCCUAGGGCUUAACCCUGGACGUGCAGGCGAUACGGGCUGACUUGAGUACUACAGGGGAGACUGGAAUUUCUGGUGUAGCGGUGGAAUGCACAGAUAUCAGGAAGAACACCGAUGGCGAAGGCAGGUCUCUGGGUAGUAACUGACGCUGAGGAGCGAAAGCAUGGGUAGCGAACAGG
RNAcentral lists this ribosomal RNA (409 nucleotides) under bacterium. RNAcentral's name for it is "partial 16S ribosomal RNA". It matches the Rfam family "Bacterial small subunit ribosomal RNA", at positions 355 to 776 of the family's 1533-position model. The record is from RNAcentral.